Long non-coding RNA from Nothoprocta perdicaria, 308 nucleotides. RefSeq lists it as uncharacterized. Lineage: Eukaryota; Metazoa; Chordata; Aves; Tinamiformes; Tinamidae. The transcript is spliced from 3 exons. The record is from RefSeq and is a predicted model, not a curated record.
AGUCAUGUUCCUUUGCACUCUUCUAUCAACAGGUCCAACCACGGUCAGUGCAUAGAUCUACCUGCAUUCCAGGAUGUUGGAAAACUACCGAGAGACAGCACCGUCCUCCCAGCUGCUUGGUGAGAAAGGAAGGAUGCACCUUCAGUUCAAAUACUGGGCUUGGUGACCCACCUUCCAGGAUCCUUGAUGCUGUGUCCAGCGUGCCUCCCAGCCCCUACAGACAACUAAGCAACAUUGAUGACUUCAGCAGGAACCAGCAGCAACACGCAGGCCCGAAGGUAAACCAAGUGACGUGGCUUGGACAGCCA